CUGGAAGAAUGGGGGCUUUUCACCCCACUCAAACCAGAAUACAACGUCAAGGGCGCUUACUCCAAAGUUGUAGGCGGAGCUCUCAAACUCAGCUCCCUUCACAAGGCCAAAAUCUCCUGCAUUCUCACUGCUAAACCCCCCGUUCUGAAUGGAGUUGGAAGGCUGCAUGGUCUUACAGUAGCAUCAGUGGCAGAGAGGGUUGCUAUUGCUUGUGCUAAGACAGUAGUUGGGACAGAUGAGGAUCUCUUCCUUGGAGAGCUUAGCAUCUCUUAUCUCUCUUCAGCUCCGCGUAAUGCACAAGUGAUUGUGGAGGCGUCUCUGGUAAGCAGCCACAAUAAGCGGACAAUAGUUGAGGUUAGUUUCCGGGCAGAGGAAACGGGGCGACUGCUCUACUUGAGUCGCGCUACAUUUUACAGCCUGCACCUUUCUAGUCGUUUGUGAAUUGUUUUAAGAAAUUGUUUGCCUUUAUUAAAAAAAAGUGGGUAAAAAAAAUUAGUAGAAUGAUUGUGAGUAGAAUGAGUUAGUACAACGUGAGUAGUCGGCCGACUGGCUCAAAACUAUUCAAAUA
Molecule: non-coding RNA, 568 nt
Organism: Salvia hispanica
Lineage: Eukaryota; Viridiplantae; Streptophyta; Magnoliopsida; Lamiales; Lamiaceae
Source: RefSeq, a predicted model, not a curated record